CAGGUCUUGACAUCCUCUGACAAUCCUAGAGACAGGACUUUCCCCUUAGGGGACAGAGUGACAGGUGGUGCAUGGUUGUCGUCAGCUCGUGUCGUGAGAUGUUGGGUUAAGUCCCGCAACGAGCGCAACCCUGGUCCUUAGUUGCCAGCAUUCAGUUGGGCACUCUAAGGAGACUGCCGGUGACAAACCGGAGGAAGGUGGGGAUGACGUCAAAUCAUCAUGCCCCUUAUGACCUGGGCUACACACGUGCUACAAUGGACGGUACAAAGGGCUGCAAGACCGCGAGGUUUAGCCAAUCCCAUAAAACCGUUCUCAGUUCGGAUUGUAGGCUGCAACUCGCCUACAUGAAGCCGGAAUCGCUAGUAAUCGUGGAUCAGCAUGCCGCGGUGAAUACGUUCCC
This 400-nucleotide ribosomal RNA is filed under the name uncultured Bacillus sp. RNAcentral describes it as "bacterial SSU rRNA". It matches the Rfam family "Bacterial small subunit ribosomal RNA", at positions 975 to 1375 of the family's 1533-position model. Lineage: Bacteria; Bacillati; Bacillota; Bacilli; Caryophanales; Bacillaceae. The record is from RNAcentral.